RNAcentral lists this ribosomal RNA (548 nucleotides) under uncultured bacterium. RNAcentral describes it as "bacterial SSU rRNA". It matches the Rfam family "Bacterial small subunit ribosomal RNA", at positions 355 to 896 of the family's 1533-position model. The record is from RNAcentral.
UAGGGAAUCUUCGGCAAUGGGGGGAACCCUGACCGAGCAACGCCGCGUGAGUGAAGAAGGUUUUCGGAUCGUAAAGCUCUGUUGUUAAGGAAGAACGAGUGUGAGAAUGGAAAGUUCAUACUGUGACGGUACUUAACCAGAAAGGGACGGCUAACUACGUGCCAGCAGCCGCGGUAAUACGGGGGGUGCGAGCGUUAAUCGGAAUAACUGGGCGUAAAGGGCACGCAGGCGGUGACUUAAGUGAGAUGUGAAAGCCCCGAGCUUAACUUGGGAAUUGCAUUUCAUACUGGGUCGCUAGAGUACUUUAGGGAGGGGUAGAAUUCCACGUGUAGCGGUGAAAUGCGUAGAGAUGUGGAGGAAUACCGAAGGCGAAGGCAGCCCCUUGGGAAUGUACUGACGCUCAUGUGCGAAAGCGUGGGGAGCAAACAGGAUUAGAUACCCUGGUAGUCCACGCUGUAAACGAUGUCGAUUUGGGGAUUGGGCUUUGAGCUUGGUGCCCGUAGCUAACGUGAUAAAUCGACCGCCUGGGGAGUACGGCCGCAAGGUUA